This 429-nucleotide ribosomal RNA is filed under the name Actinomycetes bacterium. RNAcentral describes it as "Actinobacteria bacterium partial 16S ribosomal RNA". It matches the Rfam family "Bacterial small subunit ribosomal RNA", at positions 355 to 776 of the family's 1533-position model. The record is from RNAcentral. Lineage: Bacteria; Bacillati; Actinomycetota; Actinomycetes.
UAGGGAAUCUUCCGCAAUGGGCGAAAGCCUGUCGGAGCAACGCCGCGUGAGUGAUGAAGGUCUUCGGAUCUUAAAACUCUGUUAUUAGGGAAGAACAAAUGUGUAAGUAACUAUGCACGUCUUGACGGUACCUAAUCAGAAAGCCACGGCUAACUACGUGCCAGCAGCCGCGGUAAUACGUAGGUGGCAAGCGUUAUCCGGAUUUAUUGGGCGUAAAGCGCGCGUAGGCGGUUUUUUAAGUCUGAUGUGAAAGCCCACGGCUCAAACGUGGAGGGUCAUUGGAAACUGGAAAACUUGGGUGCAGGAGGAGAAAGGGGAAUUCCAUGUGUAGGCGUGAAAUGCGCAGAGAUAUGGGGGAAAAACAGUGGCGAAAGCGACUUUCUGGUCUGUAACUGGCGCUGAUGGGCGAAAGGGAGGGGAUCAAACAAG